CCUACGGGUGACUGCAGUGGGGAAUAUUGCACAAUGGGGGGAACCCUGAUGCAGCGACGCCGCGUGAGUGAAGAAGGAUUUCGGGAUGGAAAGCUCUAUCAGCAGGGAAGAAAAUUACGGUACCUGACUAAGAAUCCACGGCCAACUACGUGCCAGCAGCCGCGGUAAUACGUAGGGGGCAAGCGUUAUCCGGAGUUACUGGGUGUAAAGGGAGCGUAGACGGCUGUGCAAGUCUGGCGUGAAAGGCGGGGGCCCAACCCCCGGACUGCUCUUGAAACUGUAAAGCUGGAGUGCAGGAGAGGUAAGCGGAAUUCCUAGUGUAGCGGUGAAAUGCGUAGAUAUUAGGCGGAACACCAGUGGCGAAGGCGGCUUACUGGACUGCAACUGACGUUGAGGCUCGAAAGCGUGGGGAGCAAACAGGAUUAGAUACCCUAGUAGUC
This 440-nucleotide ribosomal RNA is filed under the name uncultured bacterium. RNAcentral describes it as "partial 16S ribosomal RNA". It matches the Rfam family "Bacterial small subunit ribosomal RNA", at positions 338 to 795 of the family's 1533-position model. The record is from RNAcentral.